AUAUGUUUUCACUCAAAGAUAGUGGGAUUUACUAAGAGAUCACUUGAUUUAAAGUCUCACACUCUAUCUUAUGCUCUAAUACUAUGUAAAAAAUAGCCUAAAAUGUUGCUUAGAACCUUGGUCUUAACAAAUCUACAAGAGAAAUCGAUAACAAAUAGAAGAAAUCUUAAUAAAAUGGGAGGAUGAGAUAAUGAGAGCAAUGAUCUUUCGAGAAAACCUUGAUAGGAUAAAACAAAAAGUGUUAUCCCAGAGGCUUCGAAU
RNAcentral lists this long non-coding RNA (261 nucleotides) under Carica papaya (papaya). RNAcentral describes it as "long non-coding RNA (CPAP_LNC015980)". Lineage: Eukaryota; Viridiplantae; Streptophyta; Magnoliopsida; Brassicales; Caricaceae. The record is from RNAcentral.